UCUUUUUCUUUUUGAGUUCUUUCAAAUCUUUUUGGAAAAGGAGGUGGGAUGUGAAAACUUACCUUCGGGUCAGCUCUUUGCGCAGGAGGUGGUGCAGAAUGUGAUGAAGAGGCUUCAGAUUGCCUUGGAUGUUGUGCAGAGGGUGUCUCAGAUGAUGCAUGCUUUGGUGCAACUUGCUUUUCCUCCUCAAAUCUUGCAUCUUGAAGCUCUUUCCCACUUCUUAAAGUAAUGGCACUUACAUUUUGUUUGGGAUUUGCCUCAGUUUGAGAUGGCAACUUUCCUUGAGCUUCCAAUCUGUUUAUGGAGGUGGCCAUUUGUC
This 319-nucleotide long non-coding RNA is filed under the name Manihot esculenta (cassava). RNAcentral describes it as "long non-coding RNA (MESC_LNC010095)". Lineage: Eukaryota; Viridiplantae; Streptophyta; Magnoliopsida; Malpighiales; Euphorbiaceae. The record is from RNAcentral.